GUGGCGCCCAGGCCGGGGGUGCCGGGCCAAAGCGGGGCGUAGGGUGAGCGGGGUCCGGGCGGAGCAGGGCUCCCCGGUCCUCUCCUCGCCCCUGCGCCCCCGCGGGUGCCGGGGGCCUGUGCAGACCUAACCCGGGGGGACGCUCUCUCCUGGGAAGCGCCCCAGCUUCCAGAGGGGGUGUGCCAUCCCCCGUGGCCCUGGCCUGUCCGCUGCCCGUGGGUUACAGAGCGCAGAAGGAAAGGCCUGGCUUCACCGCAGGCUGUGUGUUAUCCUGCGGGGGAUCUAGGUCAAGAACGACAUCCCAAAGGGGUAAAUUGUGCGAAAAUUCCUAUUUUCUCUGCAGUGUGAUAGCAGCGGAGAGGAAGGCCCUACUAUCCACUUCGUGGCUGAUACACAUCCAUCUUGAACCAGUGUAAGAAGGUCUGUGGGAGUGAAUCUGCAAGCUUUUGUCUAUGGCAGCACAGAUUAGAGUUUAAAUCCCUUGGAAGAAAUAGCUUGAACCAGAAGAUACUGCCCAUUGAUUGCAAGAUGAAGUUUUAUCUUGAUUAGAUAAAACAGUAAAAUACCUCUUCUGCAAGAGGCAGAAAUUUCUGAUUUCUGCUGAACUCACACCUGUGUGACACUCAUGAAUAUGGAGCUGCAGCUUCUCCCUGAUAUCCUUGUUGCUGCAUGAUGUUCAGAAGUCUCUCAGUUGCUCUCUUUGGAAAGUUGUAGGGUUACAGCACUCCUGGGCAUUCAUCUUUGCUCUAGAAGAACAUAGUGGAUUUUUUUUUUCAUUAGUAUAGCCUUUUGGUUUUUUAAAUAUUUCUAAAACACAAGGAUAAAGGUGUGUCAAAGUGUACACCAAACCUAAUAUUAAAGAUCUCGCCACAAAGAGGUGU
Molecule: long non-coding RNA, 881 nt
Organism: Lepidothrix coronata (blue-crowned manakin)
Lineage: Eukaryota; Metazoa; Chordata; Aves; Passeriformes; Pipridae
Exons: 3
Source: RefSeq, a predicted model, not a curated record